Molecule: ribosomal RNA, 253 nt
Filed under: uncultured bacterium
Lineage: Bacteria
Description: partial 16S ribosomal RNA
Rfam family: Bacterial small subunit ribosomal RNA
Source: RNAcentral
UACGUAGGGUGCAAGCGUUGUCCGGAAUUAUUGGGCGUAAAGAGCGUGUAGGCGGCCAUGUAGGUCCGGUGUGAAAACUCGAGGCUUAACCUCGAGAUGUCAUCGGAAACCAUUUGGCUAGAGUCCGGAAGAGGAGAGUGGAAUUCCUGGUGUAGCGGUGAAAUGCGCAGAUAUCAGGAAGAACACCAAUGGCGAAAGCAGCUCUCUGGGACGGUACUGACGCUGAGACGCGAAAGCGUGGGGAGCGAACAGG